Molecule: long non-coding RNA, 1217 nt
Filed under: Canis lupus familiaris (dog)
Lineage: Eukaryota; Metazoa; Chordata; Mammalia; Carnivora; Canidae
Description: lncRNA (ENSCAFG00000052248.1, ENSCAFG00845011181.1)
Source: RNAcentral
UGGGUUUGGACUGUUGAGAUCUGCUACCCUUUUACUGCAUAAUUUGCAACAGAAGCAUUUAUUUCGUGUGCACAGCAUAUCUCUCUGGGUCCUGGUGAUAGAAAAAUGUAGUGUUAAGGUUGACUCUUUAGUGGUGCAGGAGCACAUACUGUGAGACCAGAGGAUCUGUUCUGAACUUCCUAUGAAUUAAGUUCAGUUCCCCAGGGCUUUCAGAUUCACCCUUCCUCUUGCAUAUAUUCGUAUGUUUCAGGACUCAGUGAUCUUUGAGGAUGUGGGGGUGGACUUCACCCUGGAGGAGUGGACUUUGCUGCAUUCUAGGCAGAAGAAUCUCUACAGAGAUGUGAUGCUGGAAACUUUCCAGAACCUGGUCUCAGUGGGUAAGGAUGGAUUCAGGCCUUCACUUGGAUCUCUUGUCAGUGCUCUUCCAUGAUUUAAAGUGUGGAAGGACACUUCAAAGGAAGACAGACAUGGUUACAGCCAUCAUGGACUUAGAAUCUGAUAAUGUCUCAUGACAGUGAAAAUGAGUGCAUUAAACUGAAGUUUUAUUUUUGUUUUGGUUCAGAAGACUUGAAGCUCCUUAAAGUUCAGUAGUGGGAGACUGGCUUCAUAAGUUGUUUUGGUUCACAGUUUUCUUGGAAAACUUGUUAUAGUCAUUAGUAAAUUGCCUACCAUUUUGACCUCUCCUGCCUGCCAUUGAUGAAGUCCUGAAAACCCUAAAGCCCUCAGUCUUUCUUUGCUCACAAGUUACUUCUUCAAGAUGUUCAUUCACAUUUUUAUUUGUUUAAGAUUAUGAAACACUGUUUAAACCCAGUGAGUUGGUUUCUAAACACGAUAUGCAUGAGGAAAAAAAUCUAAUGAAGAGAAAAUGGCAAAGUGCACAAGAAAUCAUUCUUGUGCCUACAUAUUAGAAAAAAAUUGGGAAGACCAUAGCAUUGAAGAUCAGCAUGGAAACCAUGCAAUACAUCUGAGCAAUCCUAUGACAGAUCCUAUGAAAGUAAUAAAGGAAAUCAACAUAGAGAAAUGUGCAGCCAGUUUCCCCAUUUUAAUUUCUGCAAGAAUAUUUCUACCAGAGUAAAACUCUAUGAAUACACCAAGUGUGGGAAAGGCUUCAUGCAUCUUUCUUCCCUUAAGAGGCAUGUGAGAUCUCACUGUGGACAGAGACUACAUCCGUGUCAGGAAUGCAAGCAGGCCUGCAUUUGUCACACACACCUAAGAAC